Molecule: long non-coding RNA, 2074 nt
Filed under: Actinidia chinensis (golden kiwifruit)
Lineage: Eukaryota; Viridiplantae; Streptophyta; Magnoliopsida; Ericales; Actinidiaceae
Description: long non-coding RNA (ACHI_LNC009565)
Source: RNAcentral
UCUAUUGGUGAAGAUAUCCUUGUCUGAAAUUAGACUCAAAAAACACAUUUGGGUGGAAUUUUUUGUUACUAGGUAUUUGACUUUAUCCCACAUCGCUCACCUAAGACAACCAAGCUUAGCAUAUCUAAUCUAGAUGCUACUCCACCUAUUGCUAAUUGGUUUUAGGUUGGACGCCUCGAUCCUUUUUAACAUGGUAUCAGAGCUAGCUAUUGGGUGGCUUUCACGUGGUCAAGUCUUCGCCCAAGUCGGCUCUUCUGUGGGCCAAUCAUCUCAUCCAUCUCUACGUCACCUCCAUGUGCAUCUGGGCUGCACGUGCAGAGGAGUGUUAGACUUUAUCCCACAUCGCUCACCUAAGCCAUCCAAGCUUAACAUAUAUAAUCUAGAGACUACUCCACCUAUUGCCAAUUGGUUUUAGGUUGGAUGUCUAAAUCCUUUCUAACAUGCUAUUAGAGCUAGGUAUUGGGUGACUCUCACGUGGUCAAGUCUCCGCCCGAGUCGGCUCUUCUGUGGGCCAAUCGUCUCAUCCAUCUCUUCGUCACCUCCUUGUGCAUCUAGGCUGCACAUGCAGGGGAGUGUUAGACUUUAUCCCACAUCAUUCACCUAAGCCAUCCAAGCUUAGCAUAUCUAAUAUAAAGACUACUCCAUCUAUUGUCAAUUGGUUUUAGGUUGGACGUCUAAAUCCUUUCUAAUAUGAUAUUAGAGCUAGGUAUUGGGUGACUCUCACGUGGUUAAGUUUUCGCCCGAAUCGGCUCUUCUGUGGGCCAAUGGUCUUAUCAUCUCUUCAUCACCUCCAUGUGCAUCGGACUACUGUGCAGGGAGUGUUAGACUUUAUCCCACAUCAUUCACCUACGCCAUCCAAGCCUUAGCACUAUCUAAUAUAAAGAACACCUCCAUCUAUUGUAUUGGUUUUAGGUUGGACGUCUAUCCUUUCUAAUAUGAUAUUCAGCGCUAGUAUUGGGUGACUCUCACGUGGUUAAGUUUUCGCCCGAAUCGGCUUCUUCUUCUGUGGUCCAAUGGUCUUAAUCCAUCUCUUCAUCACCUCCAUGGUGCAUCUGGGCUACAUGUGCGGGGAGUGUAGACUUAUCCCAACAUCGUUCCUCUAAUUAUCCAAGCUCAACACUAAUCUAGAUGCUAAUGUCUUUAUGCCACUUUGUUUAAGGUUAGAGCUUCAAUCCUUUCUUAACAUGUAUUAAUCUAGGUAUUGGGUGACUCUCCAUCUCACGUGGUCCAAGUCUCCGCCCGAGUUGUUUCUUGCCGUUCGCCAAUCGUCUCAAUCCAUCUCUUCGUCACCCCACUCCACGUGCAUCUGGGCUGCACGUGCGGGGAGUCUUAGCGUUAUCCCACAUCGCUCACCGCCGCCACCCACGCUUAUAUAUCUAAUAUAAGGCUACUCCACCUAAUUGCUAUUGGUUUUAGGUUGGACGUCAAAUCCUUUCUAAGAUGAAUUAGAGCUCGGUAUUGGGUGCUCUCACUGUUUAAGUUUUCGCCGCCCUAAUCGGCUUCUUCUGUGGGCCAAUGUCUUAUCCAUCUCUUCAUCACCUCCAUGUGCAUCUGGGCUACAUGUGCAGGGGAGUGUUAGACUUUAUCCCACCUCGUUCAUCUAAGUCAUCCAAGCUCAAAACUAAUCUAGAUGCUAUGUCAUUUAUUGCCAAUUUGUUUAAGGUUAGAUGCUUCAAUCCUUUCUAACAUGGUAUUAAAUCUAGGUAUUGGGUGACUCUCACGUGGUCAAGUCUCCGCCCGAGUUGUUUCUUGCGUUCGCCAAUCGUCUCAUCCAUCUCUUCGUCACCUCCACGUGCAUCUGGGCUGCACGUGCAGGGGAGUCUUAGACUUUAUCCCACAUCGCUCACCGACGCCACCCAAGCUUAAUAUAUCUAAUAUAGAGGCUACUCCACCUAUUGCUAUUUGGUUUUAGGUUGGACGCCUCGAUCCUUUCUAACACUAGGGAGGGGUCUAGUAGUUUGCCUAUUGUUCAUUAGUUAUUCGAGCUGCACUAUCUCAAAAUAGAUCUCAAAACCUCAUUUGGAAUGGGAGCCAAUGGGUGUACAUGGUUUUCUUUGGAUGGAAAUGGUGUACA